CAUUGCCUGCUGUCAAGUCAAAAGAAUGUAAACAAUAAUAACAAAUAUGAACGUAUUUUUGGUGAUAUUCAGCGGAUUCGUGUGGUUUUAUUAGCUUUUUUCGCUGAAUAGCAGGAUAUUUACGAUGGCUUACUUCACAAUUAUAGUAUUUCUCCUUCAAAAUUGAUGAAAAGACUCAUCGAAUU
Coccinella septempunctata (seven-spotted ladybird) is the source of this 185-nucleotide long non-coding RNA. RefSeq lists it as uncharacterized. The record is from RefSeq and is a predicted model, not a curated record. NCBI's taxonomy places the organism in Eukaryota, Metazoa, Arthropoda, Insecta, Coleoptera, Coccinellidae. The transcript is spliced from 2 exons.